GAUGAACGCUGGCGGCGUGCCUAAUACAUGCAAGUCGAGCGAACAGACGAGGAGCUUGCUCCUCUGACGUUAGCGGCGGACGGGUGAGUAACACGUGGAUAACCUACCUAUAAGACUGGGAUAACUUCGGGAAACCGGAGCUAAUACCGGAUAAUAUAUUGAACCGCAUGGUUCAAUAGUGAAAGACGGUUUUGCUGUCACUUAUAGAUGGAUCCGCGCCGCAUUAGCUAGUUGGUACGGUAACGGCUUACCAAGGCAACGAUGCGUAGCCGACCUGAGAGGGUGAUCCGCCACACUGGAGCUGAGACGCGGUCCAGGCUCCUACGGGAGGCAGCAGUAGGGAAUCUUCCGCACUGGGCGAAAGCCUGACGGAGCAACGCCGCGUGGGUGAUGAAGGUCUUCGGAUCGUAAAACUCUGUUAUUAGGGAAGAACAAAUGUGUAAGUAACUAUGCACGUCUUGACGGUACCGAUUCAGAAAGCCCCGGCUAACUACGU
RNAcentral lists this ribosomal RNA (496 nucleotides) under uncultured bacterium. Its description in RNAcentral is "partial 16S ribosomal RNA". It matches the Rfam family "Bacterial small subunit ribosomal RNA", at positions 28 to 506 of the family's 1533-position model. The record is from RNAcentral.